AGGGCGGAGGGCGGAGGGCCGAGGAGUGACCCGGAAGCCUGUCGGGUGCCGAGGGAGGGCGUCGGCGCCCUGGAUCCCAGCCGCACCUUCGCUGACACGUUCCGGGCCUGGCUCCCACUCCGUUCCGGGAGGCUUGCUCAGGGCCACGUACUCGCGUGGGGCAAGGCUGCCCCCGGGUCUAGGGAAAGCGCAUCCUUUCUCUUGGGAGGGCUUCUUGAGCCUGCCUCUGAGGGAGCUUAGUAAGGGAGAACAGUACUGUGGUCGGCACCUGGUUGCUGUGAGCUUGCAACAGGGAAACCUAGUUUAGCUUGCAGGUCUGAACGCCUCUUUUGAUGGCUUUGAUAGUUGAGGGGGAGGGCGGGGGUAGGUGGGGGUAGCUCCUCAUUCAAGAGAUAGAAGAGAGAGAUGGGAGGGAAGAAGGGAGGAUCACGGAUGACGCCCUAGGUGUCCAUUCUCGACAACCAGAUGGAUUUUGGCACCAUUCUCCAGGAUACAGAGGCUUGAGAAGUUUGGCAGCUUUCUCCUGAAACUCAGAUACGAGUAAUUGGUUUCUAGUCGAGGGAGGGGCAGGGGUGUAAUUCUGGGGUAACAGCACCUGCAUCCAUCCAGUUGCACAAGCCAAGAAGCUGGAGUCCUCCUGGUCACUGCCCCCCUCUCACCAUCCCCAUGCCCCAACACCAACAGGCCAUCAACUGGGAAUGAGAAAAGUCUGCAGAUUGAAGGGGCUCCCAAGGGAACCCAGGCUUCUCCACAGAAGAGCAUAUUUUGAACACAACUCCUACAGGAAUGUUGGCCAAACACAAGCAAGGGAGGCAGUAGUGCACUGUGUUGGCAGGGGGUGGGGGGCUGGGGGACGAGGGCUGCUCUGAAAAGACUGUCGUGUCUCUUUGACUCUGGGUAUCAUCCCUUUUCCCUGAGAGGUAUCUUCAGUCGAUUACGGCAGAUUUUUGCUCCUGACAGACAACGAGGCUUAAUUCUUCUGCAGCUUACCUUGGAUCUGCAAGCAGCAUUGAGAUCUGCCCGGCUGUGGGCAAGAGGCCCAGGAAUACAGUGAUCUCGACAGUGGCUGUGGCCCGGGAAAUGCUGAGCACGUGGGCAGCCACUGCAGGCCACACAGAAACCAGACGAUCCAGAAAUGCCCUGGGCAAACCAAGUCUUUGCCUCUCCAUCUCUUUCAGUCACAAACUUAUUUUUUUCUGUAGAGUUCAGCAUUAAAGACAAUUUGAAUAUUUGUCCCAUACUCAUAUAGGAUUCCCUAUUCUUCCCAGAUUUAAAAAAGUUAUCUUUUCAUUGGGAAACAACAAGACUCUUUAAAAAUGGACCAGCAGACAUUUCUAGAGUUUUGAGGUUCCACAUGUUACCAGGACUUAAAUCUGCUGGUGCCCAGCAUCAGCUUGGAAAUCACCAUGAAUGACGGGCCAGCAUUAGAAUCGGGAGAGUCUUCUCUGUCUUGCGUCCCCUCACCCCCACACCUGAUAAUUACUUCUGUUACCAGAGAGUUCUUUCCGUGAAUUUCCUUUGUUACUUAGGUAAAUGUUUCCUUCCUCAUUUCAGUUAUUUGUGUAACAGUUUGUUUCCGUUGUUUCUUUUAAAGAUUAAAUUGAAGAAGGGAUACAAAGCUCUA
Orcinus orca (killer whale) is the source of this 1624-nucleotide long non-coding RNA. RefSeq lists it as uncharacterized. The record is from RefSeq and is a predicted model, not a curated record. The transcript has 2 exons. NCBI's taxonomy places the organism in Eukaryota, Metazoa, Chordata, Mammalia, Artiodactyla, Delphinidae.